UACGGAGGGUGCGAGCGUUAAUCGGAAUUACUGGGCGUAAAGCGUGCGUAGACGGUUAUUUAAGUCGGGUGUGAAAGCCCCGGGCUCAACCUGGGAAUUGCAUUCGAGACUGAAUAGCUAGGGUACGGUAGAGGGAAGUGGAAUUUCCAGUGUAGCGGUGAAAUGCGUAGAUAUCGGAAGGAACAUCAGUGGCGAAAGCGACUUCCUGGACCAGUACCGACGUUCAGGCACGAAAGCGUGGGGAGCAAACAGG
This 253-nucleotide ribosomal RNA is filed under the name uncultured bacterium. Its description in RNAcentral is "partial 16S ribosomal RNA". It matches the Rfam family "Bacterial small subunit ribosomal RNA", at positions 524 to 776 of the family's 1533-position model. The record is from RNAcentral.